This 2432-nucleotide long non-coding RNA is filed under the name Androctonus crassicauda. The record is from RNAcentral. Lineage: Eukaryota; Metazoa; Arthropoda; Arachnida; Scorpiones; Buthidae.
AGAAAACAUCGGCAAUAAUUACAUAAUGAGGAAUUAACGAUAUUGUACAUCGUUUAACUAAUAGUUUGGUCAUUUUUUCCCCUCCCUACCUGGUAAUAAUUGUUAGUUUUGUACAACUCCUCCCGAAAACUUUUAUAAUUCGAUAUUAACUUACAAAAAAAUCUACUCGAUCGGCGAUCGGGAUGAGUUUUUUCCCUCCCCCUCCUCCUCCUCUUCUCGUAGGCCAUUUCCAGCAGUUUUGACAUAGAAAAAUCUCGGAAUCGGGUUAAAAACUAUUUUGAAAAUUAAUUAUUUUCAUCAUGUCGCAGUACGGGAGGGAGAAGAUUUCGAAAACGAUCAAAAAUUACGCACGUAAACACUCGGUGGUAUAUAAUUUUUUCUUGCAUUUGCUUCUUGUUUUUUUUUUCUCUGCAAUUAUUUUGAGUCAGCUGUUUCGAUCAUUAUCCAAACAAUUCAUUCGAACGUUGUUGACCGAGUUUCGUAUUUUGCCCUUUAAAACAAAUAAAGUACGCCGAUCAGCUGUUGUAUACAGAAAACAUUACGAUAUGAUUUAAGAGAAGAAAAGAGUAAAAAUGAGACGUUUCGCAACAUUAAAAUAAUUGCAUUGCUUCACUUAAUACCGAUACUCAUUGUUCGUGUUCAUAACCAACAAAAGGGGACAGAAAUUUUCUUGUUGGUUUCUACGCAGUCCAAGGAUCGUUCCAGAGGAAUUACGAAUGCUGACGACAUUCGGAAAAGGGAGAAAUAUGGGACCAAGGACGAAAACAUAAGAGGGGGGGUGAAAUUUUUUUGUUUUAUUUUUUUUUUGUAACUAUACAACAGAUGCCACGCGAUUAUCCGAUUUCUAGAAGCGUAAAGAUUUUUGUUUUAAGGUGAUAUCGAACCGUUUGGCCAAGAGAUCCACUCCCAGAAGAGAAGAGAAUGGCUGUUAAAUGAAGACAGAUGGUGGAAGGAUUGUGCAGCGGAUGGAAAUAUUGAAGGCUUGCCAGGCCCUAUAUCGAAAACUUUAAAAGCAUUUUUCGGUAGGGAUUGCUAGAUGAAUGGCCCAUCGGUCAAAUGUAUUUAAAACUUUCAUACUACGCUAGGCUCCAAUUCCAAAAUAUCGACGGAUGCGUCUUAUGAUAUUUUUGAAAAUUUGAUGUCGGUCAGAUACUUAAAAUAGAAGAGAGAGAGAGAUCCAAGCUCGUUCCGUUCGCAUGAAAAUUUCCUGAGGGUUCCAUAUUCCAGAAAAGAUGGAUUAUUAAACACGUUGGUUCCCAAACUAUAUUUAAACUCCUCUCCGGUAGGAAUACUCGAUUCGUUUUUGUGGAAACUCGUUCGAGAGGUUGGCUUUUAUAGAUUAAAGUGUGGAUCUCUGCCAUUAUAGUAUUUCGAAAAAAAUAAAAAUGGACGAGGAAGAAUGUCUAUUGACGCGUUUUCUCUACCAUUCAGUGAUUGAUGCAAUGUGUGUUGUAGUCCGCUCUUCCGCAUCGGAUUCCUCACGCGAUCUUAGCCGACCGGAUGUGAUGUCAUAUUAACUAGCGCUUGCAUCCCAACGUGAGAAACCGAUUUCUCAAAUGCUUCAUUCCAGUUAAAGGGUUGAAGUAUCGAACAAUAGAACGGAUCCAUUGUUCGAGAAGCGGAGGUGGAUCCCAUUGUUUAAUUAACGACCAUAUACAACAAGACUAAUACGCGGCACUAUCGAUAAGAACAUUGUUUCUCCUUUACCACGUGCGUGGGAAAGCAUCCCAACUACUGGCAUUUAACGUGUAAUGGUAAGUUCCCAUUAAAGAAGCGUGCCGUGAACGCCGUGUGUUACUUGUUUAUUGAUUUAACGCGGCGAUUAUUAUUAUUUUUUAUUAUUUCCAUUUUUUUUCACUUUAUUCCUGUACCUGCGACCUUGUCAGUGUCGCGCACCUCACAAGGUGUCCUCAUGCAUGAAUCGAACAUACCUCUCUUGUCUUUCACUCAGUAGACUGCACACAAGAGAUUUGGCUUCAUGUCUCUUUUAUCUUUUGAUUGCAGAGUAAUCUCGCUCUCUACUGGCAUCCGGACGGAUUGACGAUUGUCUGAUCCAACUGUCCCAUCUAAAGAAACAAGAACGGAAACCAUGGGACGAAAAAAAAUACAGAUUUCUCGGAUAACGGACGAAAGGAACCGGCAGGUAAGUGCUGUUCUAGUGUGUUAAUUAAGCGUUUUCGACCGCGUUAAAUUAUUGUAGUAAAUCUUUUUUCUUAAUUUAGUUCGUGUCGGCAUUGUUUAAACAUCGCGUGAACGAAAAAAAAAAUUAUACGUGUAUUUAUAUAUAUCGCACAGUUUCGAUUGUUCUUUGACAAACCGUGCCUGUCUCUGCUGCGUAACGGGAAUUAUUAUUAUUAUUAUUAUUAUUGUUUAAAGUCUCUACUUUCUUCCGCAUUCGGUUAAAUUUCAUCCCUCCUUUUUAAAGAUAAUCC